Betta splendens (Siamese fighting fish) is the source of this 3435-nucleotide long non-coding RNA. The record is from Ensembl. NCBI's taxonomy places the organism in Eukaryota, Metazoa, Chordata, Actinopteri, Anabantiformes, Osphronemidae.
GAAGUAAAAUAAAUUUGAAAAUGUCAUAUUGAUGACUGAUAAUGGUUUAAUUUAAUUAUAAACCUUUUUAUGAAACUUAAUUUUUGAUUCCUAUUUUUGAAUGAAGUAUUGAUGCAGCGCAAGAAGAUGACAGUCUUGGAAGACUAGUCAAUGAUGACCACAUCUAUCCAAACUGCAAAAUGAAGAGGGUCAUAGCAGAGGGCAAGCCACAUCUUUGUCUUUUUGCUCUGAGAGACAUUAAGGCUGGAGAAGAAAUAACGUAUGACUAUGGAGGAUCUGAUUGGCCUUGGAGAAAACAGGUUUGUAACUCUUGAAUUGUGUGAUGUAGAUUAGUGAAUGUGCAUAUUUGCUUUCAUGAGGAGAUCGGUGAAGGAUUUGUGUUUCUUUUGUGAGAUUUAUUCUGCUACUGGUUUUUUAAUCUGAGUUUUUUUAAAUCAAAUGACAGUGAUUGCUAAUGCUAAUAAGUUUGAAGGGACAAAUACAGGAAAAAAGCCUUUUCUUCAGUACAGGGACAAUAUACUUAAGCUAAAUAACCAGAAGUGUGUUCUGCCACUCUUCAGCUUUCCUUAUUCUUAAUUACAGUAGUAUAUUAGCAGACAUCUGUGCUAAAUUGAAAAUUUAAUAAUCAAAUAUAACUGACUUUUAGUUGUAUACAGAGACUAUUUAAGUUGCAUCAUCAAUUGCAUGUUUCCUGUAUACAUGUACUUCAUAUUGUGACUGAUUCAUACAAGUGUUAAUGCUGAUAUGCUAAAUACAGAUAUUGAAUUCAUUUGUCAGGCUAAAGUGCAAGAAACUGCAUCUGAUACACUGUCAUCAGAGGAGGUUCCCCAGAGUCCUUCCCCCUCCAAGAUGCAGGCUAAAGUGCAAAAUACUGCAGCUGAUACACUGUCAUCAGAGGAGGUUCCUCAGAGCCCUUCGUUCUCCGAGAUGCAGGCUAAAACACAAGAAACUAGCGCUGAUACACUGUCAUCAGAAGAGGUUCCUCAGAGCCCUUCCCUCUCCGAGAUGCAGGCUAAAACACAAGAAACUAGCGCUGAUACACUGUCAUCAGAAGAGGUUCCUCAGAGCCCUUCCCUCUCCGAGAUGCAGGCUAAAACACAAGAAACGGGCGCUGAUACACUGUCAUCAGAGGAGGUACCUCAGAGCCCUUCCCUCUCCCAUAUGCAGAGUUUACAAGAAGCAGGAGUCUUUCAUUCAAUGAAAACUAUAAAAUCAGAACCGCUUGUGAACUACACUGAUUCUGAUGAUGAGAGUCCAUCCAUAAGUCCUGACCAAUUGAAGUCAACAUGCCAGAUGACAAGACAACUAGAUUUGGAUGAGCACUUUGACUUUACAUCCGAUCCUAGUGGUGAGGAAUAUAUUCCUGGGACAAGUGAAGAGUCUUCUGAUAGUACAGACACAAGCAUAGCUCUCACGCCAGUUAAACAGGCAAAGAUAUUAAAACUUUGCAACCUAAAAAUGGAUGGUAACAAAGGUGAUUCACCAAAAAAUCUAAAUAAGUCCAUGAAGCAAAAGCACAACAGAGGGCGCCCACAAAAAAAAGGAAGCAACUUGGGUAGGAAACGUAAACUUCAUUCUUCAGACAGUCCUUCAACCAGUUGCUCAUCGAAAAGUAGAGGGGCAGACAAUCUAAACUCACUAAGUGAACUCAAGGACAGCCUACCUGUUUGUACCUCUUCCCCCUCUAAACAUGAAGUGAUUGAUGAUUCUGUCUUCAUACCUGGUGUAUGCAAGAAGGAAGAUGGGUCAAGAUUGUACAACAAAAAACAAUACUGUUUGUAUUGCAAGUCUGGAUAUAUAAAAAUGGCAAGGCAUUGGGAACGUGCUCAUCACAAUAAACCAGAUGUUGCACUGGCUUUGUCCUUCCCUAAAGGCUCCAAAGAAAGACGGCUACAUCUAGAGCAUGUAAGAAACAGAGGAAACUUUGCACACAAUGUUGAAGUAUUGAAUACUGGGACUGGAAAGCUUGUUUCUCGAAAACAACCAAAAAAGGACUGUUCAGGAAAAGAUUUCUUGCAUUGUGUAUAUUGUCAUGGCCUUUUCACCAAGAAAGUCCUGUGGCGACACAGGAAGAUCUGCAAGUUCAACACUGGUGUUGAACAAAAACUUGGUAAAACCCGUAUUCAGGCACUCUGUGCACUUGCUGUAAAACCGCCACCUGGUGUCAGAGAAGAGGUUUGGAAGUUGUUGAACAAGAUGGUCCAAGAUGAAGUAUAUCAUGCUGUUAAAGCUGACUCUAUGAUCAUGGAGUUUGGUGAGCAUCUUUGCAACAGAUUCGGACAUGAUGUUGCCAAACAUGAAUAUAUUCGCCAGAAAAUGAGAGAGCUCGGAAGGCUUCUAAUAUGCUCAAAGAAAAUCACUUCAUUGAAAACAAUUCAAGAACACGUCAAGCCCUCAAAUUUCAUGCAUGUCAUUAGGUCAGUAAAACAUCUAGCGGGUCAUGAUGGUGAAACCAAUACAUACAAGUGCCCAAGUCUUGCCCUCAAAAUUGGAUACACUUUAUCAAAAAUUUCAAUGCUUGUUGAAAGUCAAGCUAACGUACAGGGCAACAAGAGUGCAGCAAAAGAAGCUUGUGCUUUUCGACAAAUCUAUGAAAGCAGAUGGCAUGAAAUGAUAUCGGCUGCAUCCCUGAGAACAUUGCAGGAGUCUAAGUGGAAUUCUCCUCUUUUGCUCCCGUUUACAAAAGACGUCCAGACUCUCCAUUCUUAUUUAGAUCAGAAGCAAAAACAAUACUUGGAUGAGUUGUCCAAAGAAAGCUCCUCUCAGAUGUGGACACAGCUCACCAAGGUAACUCUGACGCAAGUCAUUCUGUUCAACCGGCGAAGAGCAGGGGAGGUGUCUCACAUGUCCUUAUCAGCAUAUUUGUGCAAAAAUCGAUCAAACCCUCAAGAAGAUAUGAAUGAGGCCCUCUCUGAUCUAGAGAAGAAGCUAUGUCAACAUUUCAGGAGAAUAGAAAUAAGAGGGAAAAGAGGAAGAAAAGUGCCUGUGCUUCUCACCCCAGCAAUGCAGACAACAAUAGAUCUGCUUGUCAGCAAGCGCAAAGAUUGUGGAGUUCUGCAGGAAAACCCUUACUUGUUUGCAAGACCAUGUGCAAUGACCUGUUACCGUGGGUCAGAUUGCCUUCGACAUUUUGCCAAGGUCUGUGGUGCAAAAACACCAGAAACUCUCACUUCUACAAAACUGCGUAAACAAACAGCAACCCUAUCUCAAGUUCUAAACCUCAGCAAUACAGAACUAGAUCAGUUAGCUGGUUUUCUUGGACAUGACAUACGAAUACACAGGCAGUUCUACAGACUUCCUGAGGGCACCCUCCAGCUUGCCAAAAUUAGCAAAGUCCUUUUGGCUCUGGAACAGGGACGCAUGACAGAAUUCAAGGGCAAAAGCCUUGAUGACAUCAUCAUUAAUCCAGAGGGUACUGUCUUUAGAUUUUUUUAA